UGGGGAAUAUUGGACAAUGGGCGCAAGCCUGAUCCAGCCAUGCCGCGUGAGUGAUGAAGGCCCUAGGGUUGUAAAGCUCUUUCACCGGUGAAGAUAAUGACGGUAACCGGAGAAGAAGCCCCGGCUAACUUCGUGCCAGCAGCCGCGGUAAUACGAAGGGGGCUAGCGUUGUUCGGAAUUACUGGGCGUAAAGCGCACGUAGGCGGAUAUUUAAGUGAGGGGUGAAAUCCCAGGGCUCAACCCUGGAACUGCCUUUCAUACUGGGUAUCUCGAGUUCGAGAGAGGUGAGUGGAAUUGCGAGUGUAGAGGUGAAAUUCGUAGAUAUUCGCAGGAACACCAGUGGCGAAGGCGGCUCACUGGCUCGAUACUGACGCUGAGGUGCGAAAGCGUGGGGAGCAAACAGG
This 404-nucleotide ribosomal RNA is filed under the name uncultured bacterium. RNAcentral's name for it is "bacterial SSU rRNA". It matches the Rfam family "Bacterial small subunit ribosomal RNA", at positions 355 to 776 of the family's 1533-position model. The record is from RNAcentral.